AGCUCUGUAAGCGUAUACCAAAGUUGUUGCAGUUAAAACGCUCGUAGUCGGAUUUUGGCGUGGUGCUUAUUAGAUGCCCAACAUUUUUGGUGUGUCGAUUUAUAGUCCCGCCUUUGUGGAGGGGGAUGUGGUGGUGCUUUAUUGCAUUGCUGCGUUUCCACCACUGUUUACUGUGAAAAAAUUAGAGUGUUCAAAGCGAGCGAUUGCCAAAUGAAUAGAUUAGCAUGGAAUAAUAGAAUAGGACCUGGUUCUGUUUUAUUGGUUUGUCGGAUUCAGGUAAUGAUUAAGAGGGACGGUCGGGGGCAUUUGUAUUCCAGGGUUAGAGGUGAAAUUCUUAGAUCCUUGGAAGACAAACAGCUGCGAAAGCGUCUGCCAAGGACGUUUUCAUUGAUCAAGAACG
RNAcentral lists this ribosomal RNA (400 nucleotides) under phytoplankton environmental sample. RNAcentral's name for it is "partial small subunit ribosomal RNA". It matches the Rfam family "Eukaryotic small subunit ribosomal RNA", at positions 587 to 985 of the family's 1831-position model. The record is from RNAcentral.